Molecule: ribosomal RNA, 274 nt
Filed under: uncultured prokaryote
Description: partial 16S ribosomal RNA
Rfam family: Bacterial small subunit ribosomal RNA
Source: RNAcentral
UACGUAGGGGGCAAGCGUUAUCCGGAAUUAUUGGGCGUAAAGAGUGCGUAGGUGGUUACCUAAGCGCAAGGUUUAAUCUUGAGGCUCAACCUCAUUCUGCCUUGCGAACUGGGCUACUUGAGUGCAGGAGGGGAAAGCGGAAUUCCUAGUGUAGCGGUGAAAUGCGUAGAUAUUAGGAAGAACACCGGUGGCGAAGGCGGCUUUCUGGACUGUAACUGACACUGAGGCACGAAAGCGUGGGGAGCAAACAGGAUUAGAUACCCUGGUAGUCCCU